This is a long non-coding RNA of Scophthalmus maximus (turbot), 371 nucleotides long. RefSeq lists it as uncharacterized. The transcript has 3 exons. The record is from RefSeq and is a predicted model, not a curated record. Lineage: Eukaryota; Metazoa; Chordata; Actinopteri; Pleuronectiformes; Scophthalmidae.
UCUCUUUCUGUCUCUCUCUCUCUCUCUCUUUCUGUCUCUCUCUCUCUUUGCACAGGUUUGAUCAAACUGUCAGUGAAAUGAAACAUCUUUAUUUGUAGAACCCCUCAGUGCUCCCAUACUUCCUGGCUGCAGUUCCGCUCCGAGCCGCUAGAUGGCGCCACACAAACAGCGUCUGAAUCUUGCAGCAUUUUACCGUUGGAGUCAACAACAGCGAUGUCCGGCCUCCUGUGGACCCCACAGAUGAUUGACGGGAGAUUGAUAUCUGAGUCUGGAGCCAGCCCCCUCCUCCUCACAGACCACUCCCGGGGAAGCGCUGCUGAUCCGCCUCGGACGCACGGUGUUCUCUCUCUCCCCUCCUCUCUCUCUCUCUC